UCCUGGUUAUCUCAGUUGGUAGAGCACCCCACUAGAAAUGAAGAGGUCCCUGGUUCGAUACCAGGACCAGGCA
Molecule: non-coding RNA, 73 nt
Organism: Ixodes scapularis (black-legged tick)
Lineage: Eukaryota; Metazoa; Arthropoda; Arachnida; Ixodida; Ixodidae
Source: Rfam